CGUGGGUAACCUUCCCUGGAGCGGGGAUAACAUUCCGAAAGGAGUGCUAAUACCGCAUAAGACCACACCCUCGAAAGAGGGAGAGGUAAAAGCAGGCCUCUUCACGAAAGCUUGCACUUCAGGACGGGCCCGCGGCCCAUCAGCUAGUUGGUAGGGUAACGGCCUACCAAGGCAUAGACGGGUAGCUGGUCUGAGAGGAUGAUCAGCCACACUGGAACUGAGACACGGUCCAG
RNAcentral lists this ribosomal RNA (233 nucleotides) under uncultured bacterium. RNAcentral describes it as "partial 16S ribosomal RNA". It matches the Rfam family "Bacterial small subunit ribosomal RNA", at positions 116 to 334 of the family's 1533-position model. The record is from RNAcentral.